GUCUAUAACCAAACAACCCUAAAUGUCCCUAAUUUUGGAAGCUAAGUGGGGUGGUGUCUGGUUAUUAUUUGGAUGGGAGACCACCUAGAGAUAUCUGUGCUCAAGGCU
This 108-nucleotide ribosomal RNA is filed under the name Mesocricetus auratus (golden hamster). Lineage: Eukaryota; Metazoa; Chordata; Mammalia; Rodentia; Cricetidae. The record is from RNAcentral.